GUGGGGAAUAUUGGGCAAUGGGCGAAAGCCUGACCCAGCAACGCCGCGUGAAGGAAGAAGGCUUUCGGGUUGUAAACUUCUUUUGUCAGGGACGAAAAAAAUGACGGUACCUGACGAAUAAGCCACGGCUAACUACGUGCCAGCAGCCGCGGUAAUACGUAGGUGGCAAGCGUUAUCCGGAUUUACUGGGUGUAAAGGGCGUGUAGGCGGGAAAGCAAGUCAGAUGUGAAAACUAUGGGCUCAACCCAUAGCCUGCAUUUGAAACUGUUUUUCUUGAGUACUGGAGAGGCAGAUGGAAUUCCUAGUGUAGCGGUGAAAUGCGUAGAUAUUAGGAGGAACACCAGUGGCGAAGGCGAUCUGCUGGACAGCAACUGACGCUGAGGCGCGAAAGCGUGGGGAGCAAACAGGAUUAGAAACCCUGGUAGUC
Molecule: ribosomal RNA, 427 nt
Filed under: uncultured bacterium
Lineage: Bacteria
Description: partial 16S ribosomal RNA
Rfam family: Bacterial small subunit ribosomal RNA
Source: RNAcentral